This 79-nucleotide unclassified non-coding RNA is filed under the name Pseudomonas chlororaphis. The record is from RNAcentral. Lineage: Bacteria; Pseudomonadati; Pseudomonadota; Gammaproteobacteria; Pseudomonadales; Pseudomonadaceae.
UGUAGGAGCGAGCUUGCUCGCGAUGCCGGCACCGCGGUCUGUCCGACAGACCGCUAUCGCGAGCAAGCUCGCUCCUACA